GAUGAACGCUGGCGGCGUGCCUAAUACACGCAAGCCGAGCGAACGGACGAGAAGCUUGCUUCUCUGAUGUUAGCGGCGGACGGGUGAGUAACACGUGGAUAACCUACCUAUAAGACUGGGAUAACUUCGGGAAACCGGAGCUAAUACCGGAUAAUAUUUUGAACCGCAUGGUUCAAAAGUGAAAGACGGUCUUGCUGUCACUUAUAGAUGGAUCCGCGCUGCAUUAGCUAGUUGGUAAGGUAACGGCUUACCAAGGCAACGAUGCAUAGCCGACCUGAGAGGGUGAUCGGCCACACUGGAACUGAGACACGGUCCAGACUCCUACGGGAGGCAGCAGUAGGGAAUCUUCCGCAAUGGGCGAAAGCCUGACGGAGCAACGCCGCGUGAGUGAUGAAGGUCUUCGGAUCGUAAAACUCUGUUAUUAGGGAAGAACAUAUGUGUAAGUAACUGUGCACAUCUUGACGGUACCUAAUCAGAAAGCCACGGCUAACUACGUG
RNAcentral lists this ribosomal RNA (497 nucleotides) under uncultured bacterium. RNAcentral describes it as "partial 16S ribosomal RNA". It matches the Rfam family "Bacterial small subunit ribosomal RNA", at positions 28 to 507 of the family's 1533-position model. The record is from RNAcentral.